Long non-coding RNA from Camelus dromedarius (Arabian camel), 3014 nucleotides. RefSeq lists it as uncharacterized. The transcript has 2 exons. NCBI's taxonomy places the organism in Eukaryota, Metazoa, Chordata, Mammalia, Artiodactyla, Camelidae. The record is from RefSeq and is a predicted model, not a curated record.
AGGUGACGGCACCUCCGGGGGGAAGAGGCUGGUGGGGGCCGAGGUGCCUGCGGACAGACGCGGUCUCCCCAGCUGUGGAUGGUUGUCUGUGUCCAGGGUCGCAGUGACCGCGUCACACGGAACUGAGGACUGGCUGGGCUUCUCAGGACCGUGCUGUUGGCUGGGUUUGCGCUCGGUGGCCGAGUCUUCUGUUGGUGUCUCCGGAGCAGCCCAGUGCCCUCGCGAUGCCUGCUCUUGGCGGUCCUGCCGGCUCUGCCUUGGGAAGGAGGCAGCGGAGAUCCGCAGUUCCCUUAGGAUGUGAUCCCAAGUCGUCGGUUUCCAUUUCUGGGGCAGCAGCGUCACAGGGAGGGUGCACCUCGUGCCCCGUCCUGCUCGUCUCCUCCUCUCUGCUAAUGGGACACAUGGGAGUUAGCAGGCGAAGCCCCGGACGAGAAGUGGAGGACGAGGUGUAGGGAGGGUGGGAGCUGACCCCUCGGGGACGAGGGGGCCGUGACCCCUGGCCCAGGGGGAGAAAUGUGCAGUUUUCACAGUGGGGACAGUAGGUCCUCACGGAAGGGCGAGUCAUGGACUCCUUGCCAAGUUAUUUAAAUACCGUGACUGUGGCCGUGAUUGUCAUUACUGUAUGGGAACUGGGGGUGAAUGUGGCUGAAGAAAGGAAAAAGGCUUGGGAUAAAUUCAGGAUAUAGCUUCUCUUCUUCUGGUUCUGGGGUUUUGCCUGAAAUGCCACUUUUAUUUUUGGUUGGGUGCUUUUUAGCACUUGUGUUACAGCAUUUGGAACACUAUUUUUGCGACAUGUUAGAUGUGAGGUGUGUAAAAUUAGAUUCCUAGAAAUCGGGCUGUGGCGCCCCUUCCACACUGCGUGGGUGGUGUCUGCGCACCCGGAAGUGACCCUGGCCACGCUCAUGUCUGCAGGACGCCUGACCCUUGCCGUGUCCUCCAGGUGUGGGCUCGCCAGCUCUUUGCAGCCUGUGUCCUGCCCCAGCUCUCCGGCUCUCGUGUCCCGUCUGUGGAGCAGACACGCAUUUACGAGUUACCUGCUUCCUCUUCCUCUGCCUGUGAUUCUUCCAUGUCCCUUGGCCACAGCUGCAUGAGACAGAACAUGGGGACCCAGGAACAUGGAGUCUUCAUUCAGACACCGAGGUCCAAGCCGAGUGACGUUCCGGCCGCAUCUGUACUUUCUGGCUCGCGGGACCAGGCCUUGCUCUCUGGCUCACGCUGCUGUGGUUUUAUUUCUCAAGGCUCGCUCUUUGCCUUCAGUUUUGACAACUGUGAUUUCGUUUCCCCGAUGAUGAAACGGUGGUGAGAAGGGUGUGGAGAGGAGGGGCAGGAAGGCAGGGCAGCUUGUGGUCUAGGGAGGAGGCGCUCUCUCAAGCAGAGGACCCCUGAGUGGAUCAGACCUGGGCAUCCUGCGAACAGGUGGCCCUGUGCUCCCCACGUGGCUGGUUGCCCGGGGACGGGACAGCGAGCAUGUUCGGCCUGAGGCCGGAAUCUCCCCUCUGGGAGUCUGAGCGUGAUCAGCAGAAUUAUCUCAAUUAGAGUUUCAGAACACGGAGGGGGCGGCUCGGGGAGGCCUCGUCAAUCCAGAGGGGAAACUGCAGCCAGGCAGGCUUGUUAAGUCUCAAGAAGGGAAGCCCUUUGCUGUUGAAGAUGCACCAGUUAGCACGUUAUCAGCGGUGACGUCGGGGGCGCUCGGCUCCUCUGGCCGUCGGGCUGCAGGAUAUGUUCUCUGGCUGCCACACGGGGACUGCCGUUGUCCCUGGCUGGUUCCUUCGCUGCGGCUCCUUCACUGGACGCUGGCCGGAGCCCUCCUUGGACAGAGCAAGUGGGACGGCCCGUGAGGACUGUGAGACGUGCGGCUGGCAGCCAUGACCCUGUCUGAAGAGACCCGCCUGCUGGUGUCCGCGGGCCCAGAUACACUGGCUGGGCCCUUCCGGGGGCAGCCAGGACCCUCUCCUCUGAGCCAUUUCUGGUGUUGCCCUCUCUUAAGUCCUUCACGAAGAGAACUUUGAUUUCUCAGGCUUAAGAAUUAAUCAGAAAACAGUUUAAUGUCCUUCUUGAGUUACUGGCCUUGCUGGGAACACUGUCCAGGUAGACUGUUACACCUGUGUCCCCAUCCUGGUGGAAGACUCUCAUCCAAAGAAAUAAUCCCUUGGCACUUCUGAGCUAGGGAGUUCAGUGAUGGGGAGAAUUGUGACUCACGACGACUCUAGCAAACUCGGGCGUUGGCUGUGACACGACUGAUGUGCAAGGCGCAUUGUGACUGGGGGGCGGGGAGUGGAUGUGCUUUACCUUAAAUCCCAUGUGUCCCCCAGAGGCCCCCCUCCCCAAGUCCUCUCAGGUCACAGAAUGGACUCGAGUUUUCCGUGACUUUUGUCCUCAUGUGGCAGGAGCCAGGACCCUGGGGUGGGACUCCCGUUGCUGUCUGGCAUCCAGGGCGGCUCUCGGCACCCCAGUCUUGCUUGCUCAUGUUGGGGUUUCUUUGGGGUUCUGUGCAGCUCUCUUUGUAGGAAGUCCUGUUGCUUCUGCAGGGCCUGGAAGGAAGCUGGAUCAGGAGAGGAAGUGGCUGGGACCCUGUGGAAUUCCUGGGGCCUUUGGCUUAAGGGAUGUACUUCAGUCCAGAGCUCGACCUGACACCCCAUCUUGGUGCACCCCCAAUAAAAACGUUGAGUGUGGCUUCUUCCCUCUUUCCUCAGGUGUCUCUCGCAGGUUUUGCACAUUACCUUGCUUGUCUGUUAACUAGUCAGUAAGGAGGCUCCUGCCACGGUGGUUGGCUGACAGGUCUCAAAGCACCAUCCUUGAAACACCGUGGAUGUGACCAGGGCACCUCUCAGGCUGUGGCACUGGGGGUGUGUGUGCAGGGAGGCGGGCCGAGGAGGACGGGAGGCCCAGAUGUAGGGAAAUGUGCCCCUUUCUGGUGGCCCCCGGGGAGAGUGGGCUGCCCGGUGAGGCUGGAGGGAGCUCAGGGAUGGGUCUCCUGAGCUCCAGGCACCGAGAGCUCGCCAGAAGGGGAAGAA